AUUCCAUUCAGUAGUCCCGGACGAAUUAGAAUUUAACGUACGGUUUGGACAUAAUGGAGAAAUAAAAUAUUGCUCUUUUUGCAGCGGAGCUGAACUUUAUGUUCUCUUUGCUAGCCAUAAGUGUAAAACAAUA
This 133-nucleotide small RNA is filed under the name Caenorhabditis brenneri. RNAcentral describes it as "snoRNA CBN33501". It matches the Rfam family "Caenorhabditis sRNA ceN93". The record is from Rfam by way of RNAcentral. Lineage: Eukaryota; Metazoa; Nematoda; Chromadorea; Rhabditida; Rhabditidae.